CAUGUGUAAACAAGCUCUUAGUUUGUUUUUGACUACCAUGAGCUUCUCAUUUGUCUCCCUCAUUGGAAGGAGGCAACCUUGCUGACAACACUCCAGUUGUACUCUUUCACACAGGAACAUAUGGAGAUAAGCAUUUUGCAAGACAAUAGUUCAGCAGGCAGACCGCUUGUUAUACAAAACAAAAGUACUUCCAUCUCCAUCAUCCAAAAUUGGGAAACCAUUCUAUCCCUUGUACACUGGGAAAUUAAACUAGCUCAAUCCAUCAUGUCUAGAGACAUUUCUCAGAAAAAAUAUAUCAGACUGACUGGCAAUCUAACUGCUCCAUUAGCUUCAAUGGAAUUGUGCCCACUUUCUACAUUUUGUCCAAGUGACAAAAAGAAAAACUGGUGAAAG
Mauremys mutica (yellowpond turtle) is the source of this 393-nucleotide long non-coding RNA. RefSeq lists it as uncharacterized. The record is from RefSeq and is a predicted model, not a curated record. The transcript has 4 exons. Lineage: Eukaryota; Metazoa; Chordata; Testudines; Geoemydidae.